Molecule: small RNA, 28 nt
Filed under: Bombyx mori (domestic silkworm)
Lineage: Eukaryota; Metazoa; Arthropoda; Insecta; Lepidoptera; Bombycidae
Description: ovarian small RNA-32395
Source: RNAcentral
UGAUACGGACCGGACUGUGGAUAAGUGC